This 254-nucleotide ribosomal RNA is filed under the name uncultured bacterium. RNAcentral's name for it is "partial 16S ribosomal RNA". It matches the Rfam family "Bacterial small subunit ribosomal RNA", at positions 524 to 776 of the family's 1533-position model. The record is from RNAcentral.
UACAGAGGGGGCAAGCGUUGUUCGGAAUUACUGGGCGUAAAGGGCGCGUAGGCGGCCUACUAAGUCGAACGUGAAAUCCCCGGGCUUAACCCGGGAACUGCGUCCGAUACUGAUUGGGCUUGAAUCCGGGAGAGGGAUGUGGAAUUCCAGGUGUAGCGGUGAAAUGCGUAGAUAUCUGGAGGAACACCGGUGGCGAAGGCGGCAUCCUGGACCGGUAUUGACGCUGAGGCGCGAAGGCCAGGGGAGCAAACGGG